CCCCAGGCGGGGUACUUAUUGCGUUAACUCCGGCACAGAAGGGGUCGAUACCUCCUACACCUAGUACCCAUCGUUUACGGCCAGGACUACCGGGGUAUCUAAUCCCGUUCGCUCCCCUGGCUUUCGCGCCUCAGCGUCAGUUUUCGUCCAGAAAGUCGCCUUCGCCACUGGUGUUCUUCCUAAUAUCUACGCAUUUCACCGCUACACUAGGAAUUCCACUUCCCUCUCCGAUACUCUAGAUUGGCAGUUUCCAUCCCAUCACGGGGUUAAGCCCUGAGCUUUUAAGACAGACUGACCAAUCCGCCUGCGCGCGCUUUACGCCCAAUAAUUCCGGACAACGCUUGCCACCUACGUAUUACCGCGGCUGCUGGCACGUAGUUAGCCGUGGCUUUCUAUUCCGGUACCGUCAAAUCCUCGCACUAUUCGCACAAGAACCAUUCGUCCCGAUUAACAGAGCUUUACAACCCGAAGGCCGUCAUCACUCACGCGGCGUUGCUCCGUCAGACUUUCGUCCAUUGCGGAAGAUUCCCCACUGCUGCCUCCCGUAGGAGUCUGGG
RNAcentral lists this ribosomal RNA (557 nucleotides) under uncultured Veillonella sp. RNAcentral describes it as "partial 16S ribosomal RNA". The record is from RNAcentral. Lineage: Bacteria; Bacillati; Bacillota; Negativicutes; Veillonellales; Veillonellaceae.